AAGAAUUUAAGUUAAAAAAACUCUUAACCUUCAAAGCUAAAAAUAGAGAAACGCCCUCUCUAAUUCUUA
This 69-nucleotide transfer RNA is filed under the name Ips shangrila. RNAcentral describes it as "tRNA-Trp". Lineage: Eukaryota; Metazoa; Arthropoda; Insecta; Coleoptera; Curculionidae. The record is from RNAcentral.